AGAGCUAUAGUAAACACUGGAGAAAGGGCUUUAAGAGCUCUGAAGUUUAUAGUAUCAAAUACAAUGACAGUUUUGGAGAGGAAUUAUAUCAGGACAUUCGUAUACCCCUCCCAAAUUCCACUUUGGUUUCCAAGAUGAUUUCAUGUGAGUAACCUGAAGGGGAAAAGACACAGCCUUUCGCAGACAGCAGAUAAGGUUUGCAUACAUUACCUAUUCCAUCCUCGAGGGAUGCUGUGCACAGUCUUGGAGACCACGCCUCUCCUCAUCAAACAAGACAACCCCUUUAUGUUUUCUCUAGAGGUCUCUCCUCUACCAACCCAAUCUACCAUCUAAAAAGCUAUUCUUAUAGCCCGGGCUCCUGCUCCUUCAACUAGCCUUACAGCUAACAGCCCACCUCCCCCAGUCAAAUCAAUAUCAAGAGCAUAUUGGAUGGGUGUUAACAUCCCACUUGAA
This is a long non-coding RNA of Polyodon spathula (Mississippi paddlefish), 453 nucleotides long. RefSeq lists it as uncharacterized. Lineage: Eukaryota; Metazoa; Chordata; Actinopteri; Acipenseriformes; Polyodontidae. The transcript has 3 exons. The record is from RefSeq and is a predicted model, not a curated record.